AAAAAGUAUUUGCACUACAUUUAUUUAAACAUUAGGAAAAAAAGCCAACCCAUGCUUUUCUUUGCCGAGAUGUAGGGCUGUAUUAUUGGCUAGUGAGAAGCCUGGGAACACUAGGACUUUGUGUGGGCUGAUUGCAGGUAUCAGAUCCGGGAUUAUACAGGUACUGUUGGAAGUAUCUUGGGGAUUUUCCUGAUAAGAACAGUAGUGAUUGCAUAAAAAGGACAGGAUGUAAAGUGAAAUCAGUAAAAUAUCUUAGUAGACAGAGG
This 266-nucleotide long non-coding RNA is filed under the name Homo sapiens (human). Its description in RNAcentral is "long non-coding RNA NONHSAT242355". The record is from RNAcentral. Lineage: Eukaryota; Metazoa; Chordata; Mammalia; Primates; Hominidae.